This 114-nucleotide non-coding RNA is filed under the name Frankia sp. Its description in RNAcentral is "Glycine sequence". It matches the Rfam family "Glycine riboswitch aptamer", at positions 9 to 86 of the family's 94-position model. Rfam says of the family: This family represents the bacterial glycine riboswitch. Lineage: Bacteria; Bacillati; Actinomycetota; Actinomycetes; Frankiales; Frankiaceae. The record is from RNAcentral. RNAcentral also lists the same sequence under 3 other names.
CUCUGAAAAGCGGACGCGCAAGCGUCCCGCCGACGGUGCAAGCCGGCCGCCGCGUCUCUCGGGAGGCUCCGGGUGGCAUGGCAGGCCGGCGAAGCUCUCAGGCCCAUGACAGAG